This 29-nucleotide non-coding RNA is filed under the name Callithrix jacchus (white-tufted-ear marmoset). Lineage: Eukaryota; Metazoa; Chordata; Mammalia; Primates; Cebidae. The record is from RNAcentral. RNAcentral also lists the same sequence under 3 other names.
GGGGGUGUAGCUCAGUGGUAGAGCGCGUG